UACGUAGGGUGCGAGCGUUGUCCGGAAUUAUUGGGCGUAAAGAGCUUGUAGGCGGUUUGUCGCGUCUGCUGUGAAAAACGCGAGGCUCAACCUCGCGCCUGCAGUGGGUACGGGCAGACUAGAGUGCGGUAGGGGAGAUUGGAAUUCCUGGUGUAGCGGUGGAAUGCGCAGAUAAUCAGGAGGAACACGAUGGCGAAGGCAGAUCUCUGGGCCGUUACUGACGCUGAGGAGCGAAAGCGUGGGGAGCGAACAGGA
This 255-nucleotide ribosomal RNA is filed under the name uncultured bacterium. RNAcentral's name for it is "partial 16S ribosomal RNA". It matches the Rfam family "Bacterial small subunit ribosomal RNA", at positions 524 to 777 of the family's 1533-position model. The record is from RNAcentral.